Molecule: ribosomal RNA, 439 nt
Filed under: uncultured bacterium
Lineage: Bacteria
Description: partial 16S ribosomal RNA
Rfam family: Bacterial small subunit ribosomal RNA
Source: RNAcentral
CUACGGGAGGCUCCAGUGAGGAAUAUUGCACAAUGGAGGAAACUCUGAUGCAGCAACGCCGCGUGGAGGAUGACGCAUUUCGGUGUGUAAACUCCUUUUAUAUGUCAAGAAAAUGACGGUAGCAUAUGAAUAAGCUCCGGCUAACUCCGUGCCAGCAGCCGCGGUAAUACGGAGGGAGCAAGCGUUACUCGGAAUCACUGGGCGUAAAGGACGCGUAGGCGGGAUAGAAAGUCAGGUGUGAAAUCCUAUGGCUCAACCAUAGAACUGCACUUGAAACUUCUAACCUAGAGUAUGGGAGGGGAAGAUGGAAUUAGUGGUGUAGGGGUAAAAUCUGUAGAUAUCACUAGGAAUACCAAAAGCGAAGGCGAUCUUCUGGAACAAUACUGACGCUAAGGCGUGAAAGCGUGGGGAGCAAACAGGAUUAGAUACCCCGGUAGUC